Molecule: ribosomal RNA, 459 nt
Filed under: uncultured bacterium
Lineage: Bacteria
Description: partial 16S ribosomal RNA
Rfam family: Bacterial small subunit ribosomal RNA
Source: RNAcentral
CUACGGGAGGCAGCAGUAAGGAAUAUUGGUCAAUGGACGCAAGUCUGAACCAGCCAUGCCGCGUGAAGGAUGAAGGUCCUCUGGAUUGUAAACUUCUUUUAUAGGGGGCGAAAAAAGGGAAAUCUUUCUCACUUGACAGUACCCUAUGAAUAAGCACCGGCUAACUCCGUGCCAGCAGCCGCGGUAAUACGGAGGGUGCAAGCGUUAUCCGGAUUCACUGGGUUUAAAGGGUGCGUAGGCAGGCGUAUAAGUCAGUGGUGAAAUCCUGGAGCUUAACUCCAGAACUGCCAUUGAUACUAUAUGUCUUGAAUAUGGUGGAGGUAAGCGGAAUAUGUCAUGUAGCGGUGAAAUGCAUAGAUAUGACAUAGAACACCUAUUGCGAAGGCAGCUUACUACGCCUAUAUUGACGCUGAGGCACGAAAGCGUGGGGAUCAAACAGGAUUAGAUACCCUUGUAGUC